RNAcentral lists this transfer RNA (81 nucleotides) under Boletus reticuloceps. It matches the Rfam family "tRNA". Rfam says of the family: Transfer RNA (tRNA) molecules are approximately 80 nucleotides in length. Their secondary structure includes four short double-helical elements and three loops (D, anti-codon, and T loops). Further hydrogen bonds mediate the characteristic L-shaped molecular structure. tRNAs have two regions of fundamental functional importance: the anti-codon, which is responsible for specific mRNA codon recognition, and the 3' end, to which the tRNAs corresponding amino acid is attached (by aminoacyl-tRNA synthetases). tRNAs cope with the degeneracy of the genetic code in two manners: having more than one tRNA (with a specific anti-codon) for a particular amino acid; and 'wobble' base-pairing, i.e. permitting non-standard base-pairing at the 3rd anti-codon position. The record is from Rfam by way of RNAcentral. Lineage: Eukaryota; Fungi; Basidiomycota; Agaricomycetes; Boletales; Boletaceae.
GUCCUUGUCGAUUAGUGGUUAAAUCAUCACGUUGUGGAAUACCAAACCGUGAAGCCGGAGGUUCGAAUCCUCCCUGGGACA